This 892-nucleotide ribosomal RNA is filed under the name uncultured Staphylococcus sp. RNAcentral describes it as "bacterial SSU rRNA". It matches the Rfam family "Bacterial small subunit ribosomal RNA", at positions 507 to 1394 of the family's 1533-position model. Lineage: Bacteria; Bacillati; Bacillota; Bacilli; Caryophanales; Staphylococcaceae. The record is from RNAcentral.
GCCAGCAGCCGCGGCUAAUACGUAGGUGGCAAGCGUUAUCCGGAAUUAUUGGGCGUAAAGCGCGCGUAGGCGGGUUUUUUAAGUCUGAUGUGAAAGCCCACGGCUCAACCGUGGAGGGUCAUUGGAAACUGAAAAACUUGAGUGCAGAAGAGGAAAGUGGAAUUCCAUGUGUAGCGGUGAAAUGCGCAGAGAUAUGGAGGAACACCAGUGGCGAAGGCGACUUUCUGGUCUGUAACUGACGCUGAUGUKCGAAAGCGUGGGGAUCAAACAGGAUUAGAUACCCUGGUAGUCCACGCCGUAAACGAUGAGUGCUAAGUGUUAGGGGGUUUCCGCCCCUUAGUGCUGCAGCUAACGCAUUAAGCACUCCGCCUGGGGAGUACGGCCGCAAGGCUUAAACUCAAAGGAAUUGACGGGGACCCGCACAAGCGGUGGAGCAUGUGGUUUAAUUCGAAGCAACGCGAAGAACCUUACCAAAUCUUGACAUCCUUUGACAGCUCUAGAGAUAGAGUCCUUCCCCUUCGGGGGACAAAGUGACAGGUGGUGCAUGGUUGUCGUCAGCUCGUGUCGUGAGAUGUUGGGUUAAGUCCCGCAACGAGCGCAACCCUUAAGCUUAGUUGCCAUCAUUCAGUUGGGCACUCUAAGUUGACUGCCGGUGACAAACCGGAGGAAGGUGGGGAUGACGUCAAAUCAUCAUGCCCCUUAUGAUUUGGGCUACACACGUGCUACAAUGGACAAUACAAAGGGCAGCGAAACCGCGAGGUCAAGCAAAUCCCAUAAAGUUGUUCUCAGUUCGGAUUGUAGUCUGCAACUCGACUACAUGAAGCUGGAAUCGCUAGUAAUCGUAGAUCAGCAUGCUACGGUGAAUACGUUCCCGGGUCUUGUACACACCGCC